AUUGAACGCUGCGGCAGGCUUAACACAUGCAAGUCGAGCGAGCGGCGGACGGGUGAGUAAUGCUUAGGAAUCUGCCUAUUAGUGGGGGACAACAUCUCGAAAGGGAUGCUAAUACCGCAUACUAAUAGAUGAGCAUAAGUAGGAGUAGCUGUUUGGUGUGGUAAAGUCCUACCAAGGCGACGAUCUGUAGCUGGUCUGAGAGGAUGAUCCGCCAAACUGGGAAUGAGACACGGCCCAUACUCCUACGGUAGGCAGCAGUGGGGAAUAUUGGACAAUGGGGGGAUCCCUGAUCCAGACAUGCCGUGUGUGUGAAUAAGGCCUUAUGGUGGUAAAGCACUUUAAGCGAGGAGGCGUUACUCGCAGAAUAAGCACCGGCUAACUCUGUGCCAGCAGCCGCGGUAAUUC
Molecule: ribosomal RNA, 405 nt
Filed under: uncultured bacterium
Lineage: Bacteria
Description: partial 16S ribosomal RNA
Rfam family: Bacterial small subunit ribosomal RNA
Source: RNAcentral